UGGGGAAUAUUGCAUAAUGGGCGCAAGCCUGAUGCAGCCAUGCCGCGUGUGUGAAGAAGGCCUUCGGGUUGUAAAGCACUUUCAGCGAGGAGGAAGGGUAGUGUGUUAAUAGCACAUUGCAUUGACGUUACUCGCAGAAGAAGCACCGGCUAACUCCGUGCCAGCAGCCGCGGUAAUACGGAGGGUGCAAGCGUUAAUCGGAAUUACUGGGCGUAAAGCGCACGCAGGCGGUUUGUUAAGUCAGAUGUGAAAUCCCCGCGCUUAACGUGGGAACUGCAUUUGAAACUGGCAAGCUAGAGUCUUGUAGAGGGGGGUAGAAUUCCAGGUGUAGCGGUGAAAUGCGUAGAGAUCUGGAGGAAUACCGGUGGCGAAGGCGGCCCCCUGGACAAAGACUGACGCUCAGGUGCGAAAGCGUGGGGAGCAAACA
This 427-nucleotide ribosomal RNA is filed under the name uncultured bacterium. RNAcentral's name for it is "partial 16S ribosomal RNA". It matches the Rfam family "Bacterial small subunit ribosomal RNA", at positions 355 to 774 of the family's 1533-position model. The record is from RNAcentral.